Molecule: long non-coding RNA, 933 nt
Filed under: Homo sapiens (human)
Lineage: Eukaryota; Metazoa; Chordata; Mammalia; Primates; Hominidae
Description: HSALNT0316312
Rfam family: Metazoan signal recognition particle RNA (bases 730-877)
Source: RNAcentral
AGGUGGCAGACUGGAUUUGGCCUAUGGGUCAUAGUUUGCCCACUCUUGAUCUAAUCUAUAAACCAUGAUUUAUGAGAUUGUCUACUCUGGCUGUGAAGAACAGACACUAUUACUGGCUCUGGAAACACCACCUGGAACACAGCUGUGACUUGAUAAACAAGUGAAACAUUCUUUGGUGUGGUGAGGGGAAAACAAAUUUCUCAAAGGACACGCACCAUGGUGUAUGAGAGGACACUGGAGCCCAGCCAGCAUCUGACAUGCUGAAUUCAAAGUGCAGGUGAAAGUAGGACAACUGAUUCACAAGCUGGGAUGCCUGUGUUGUUGUUUGCCAGUGUGCGUGUGUGUGUUUUCCUGGCACCCUUCAUUCAUUCCCCAGCACAGUUGACAUCAGGUUGGAAGCAGUGAGUUCUGAGGGAGACUGCUAGAGGACCCAACUUGGAGAAUCAACGAUCUGCGAUGAAGAUAAUGAAGAUAAAGACAAUGUCAAUGUCAGCGUCCAAAAUCAUAAGGACCCUUUAAGAAGCUUCCAGAGCAGAAGUGACUGUGCAAGAAGGGCCAAUAAAGUCUAGGCAAUGCACGACCAGGCGCGGUCGCUCACGCCUGUAAUCCCAGCACUUUGGGAGGCCGAGGUGGUUGGAUUACCUGAGGUUAGGAGUUUGAGACCAGCCUGACCAACAUAGUUUCACCCCAUCUCUACUAAAAAAAAAAAAAAAAACAAAACAAAAGUUAGCCAGGUGUGGUGCUGCACACCUGUAAUCCCAGCUACUCUGGAAGCUGAGGCAGGAGAAUCGCUUGAACCCAGGAGGCGGAGGUGGCAGUGAGCUGAGAUUGCACCGCUGCACUCCAGCCUGGGCGACAGAGUGAGACUCUGUCUCAAAAAUAAAUAAAUAAAUAAAUAAUAAAGUCUAGGCAAUGCAGCAGACUGCAGACAAA